Non-coding RNA from Tinamus guttatus (white-throated tinamou), 165 nucleotides. NCBI's taxonomy places the organism in Eukaryota, Metazoa, Chordata, Aves, Tinamiformes, Tinamidae. The record is from RefSeq and is a predicted model, not a curated record.
AAUAAUUUUCAGAUAUGGGUCAAUUUUCAGUUGACAGUUUGUGUGAUCUGUAGAGUUACUGUAGCGCCAAUUUCUCUAUAAAUGGGACUAAAAUGCAGGAAACUUGAGCUAUUUAUGUAGAACGGCAUUUGAUGGUGCAAUUAGGCACAAAAAAGAAGGAGCUGG